RNAcentral lists this microRNA precursor (61 nucleotides) under Tetraodon nigroviridis (spotted green pufferfish). Its description in RNAcentral is "Tni-Mir-199-P3-v2_pre stem-loop". It matches the Rfam family "mir-199 microRNA precursor family", at positions 12 to 71 of the family's 80-position model. Rfam says of the family: This family consists of the microRNA (miRNA) precursor mir-199 which appears to be specific to humans. The record is from RNAcentral. Lineage: Eukaryota; Metazoa; Chordata; Actinopteri; Tetraodontiformes; Tetraodontidae.
CCCAGUGUUCAGACUACCUGUUCAUCAGACUCAAGCUGAACAGUAGUCUGCACAUUGGUUA